AACGAACUAGAGAAAAUCCUUAUAAUUGGUUUUGCAUUCAGAAGAGAGCCCAAUCCAAGAGCACACUGAAUAAAUAACAUUUUCAGUUGUUUUGUCUGCUGCUGGCACAAGCGUGAACUGGCUCAGCCAAGCUAGCGAGUAAAUUGACAGCAUGUCUAAUAACUGGAACGCAUCUUCCCUGCGGCCCAGCAACACCACUUGUAGGGGUCUACUCUACAGAAGCAUGUUCAAGGAUGUCCACUGCAGAAUCAUUUGUGAUGGUGAAAAACUGGAAACAAAUGUCUAUUAGUAGAAAUAUGCACCCAAAGGAGCAUUUUUCCAGCCAAUUAUCCUGUGCCCUUCCGAUCUCAUGACUUAGAGUAAUUGACGCCAUCUCCCUCAUCUGGAUACGUGGAAAAAUGACUAUUUGACGUUGGCUGCAUCCCACCUACUCACCAGAUUCUCUUUCCUCCUUCCAUUCCCUGGGGCUGCAGGUCUCAUCUCCGUCCAGGGGUAUUUCCUGCCAAGUGCCUGGUUGCCUCUUUGCCUGGAGGAAGGCCCCAGGGCCUAGUUUACUUUCUCUCUUCUUUCUUUACCUUUUCCAAAGUUUCCUUGUGAAAUCCUACUCCUUGGGCACCCCCACAUUCCUUUCUUUCUUAUGAUACCACUAGAGCUGGCCCAUGGGAACAGUGAUUCUCAAACUUGAAUGUGCAUCAGAAUCACCUGGAAAGCUUAUUGAAACACAGAUUGUGGGGUUCCACCUUCAGGGCUCUGGUUCAGUAGGUCUGGGUAGGGUCCAGUGGUGUGCUGGAAACUGUUUAACAAUGGGCUUUCAGAAAGAAAAAUGAGCACUGAUUUGUAAUGUUCCACAGUGUAAACACUCUCACCGUGGUUGAUUUCAAGCCCCCAGUGUGAUGGUCACUAAAUGUGGAGUUAGGAAAGAGACAUGUGCAAUUGGUUCUCCUGAGAUGUUACAAACUGUCUCCAGCCACCCUUGGCACUGGGAUCUAAGAAUUUGCAUUUCUGUUUUUUUUUUUUUUGUUUUUGUUUUUGAGAUGGAGUCUUGCUCUGUCGUCCUGGCUGGAGUGCAGUGGUGCAACCUCAGCUCACUGCAACCUCCGCUUCCUGGGUUGAAGCGAUUCUCCUGCCUCAGCCUCCUGAGUAGCUGGGACUCCAGGUAUGCGCCAUCAUGCCCAG
Molecule: long non-coding RNA, 1176 nt
Filed under: Homo sapiens (human)
Lineage: Eukaryota; Metazoa; Chordata; Mammalia; Primates; Hominidae
Description: HSALNT0343255
Source: RNAcentral